UAACUGCUUGCUAUCGGUUAGGCUCCAAC
RNAcentral lists this non-coding RNA (29 nucleotides) under Bombyx mori (domestic silkworm). The record is from RNAcentral. Lineage: Eukaryota; Metazoa; Arthropoda; Insecta; Lepidoptera; Bombycidae.